GUAUAGCAAAAAGAACUGCUUCACAGGAAACUUUAAACAUGUCCGGUAAAUUGGAAAUAUUUUGGUUUCAACAAGACAUCAAGAUCUUUCCUUACAGGGUGACACUCCAAAUUUCAACAUAAUCACAGCUAAUUUUAAAAUGGGGAUUAUAUUUAAGUCUAGAAAUUCUAAUCCACGGCCUGACACCGCCUCACUCAUUACCGAAGAAGAUGGAAGAAAAUCUUCUCAACGGCCUUCCCUCUGAUAUCAAGUUGGGCAUAUUUUCUAGGACAGUUUGUAGAGAAAGGAAUCGCUAUUAACCGAAUUGUGGUAAUAUCAGAGACGGCGUAAGAGUUUGGAAAUUUCAAUUUCUAUCUCUUAAUCGCACAAUUUUUGUUAUUUUAUUUUCAGGGUUAACCCUAAUUAUGGUUUUAAAGACUUCUAUGACUUAGAAAAAGUUCAUGGAAAUGAAUUGCUUUUUUACUUAUUUAGAUAUGAGGAUGCACCGCUUAACAUUCAAUGCCAAAAGAAUACAGGAGAGAUUCAUCCAGCAUACACACAUCCCCUUCAUCUCCGAUACAAUAAUUAAGGUGCAAAUUCUUUCAAGUUAGUAUUCCUGUUAUUUAGAGUUUCUAUCGACUUUCUUUUGCUAUUUAAGAUUGUUAUCAAAGAAGGAAGGGCUUAACUGAAUAUUUUGCAACUUUUUGAGUAUGAAAGUAGAAGGAAGUUAUCCUCAAAUCCAACUGUGGAACUAAUAAAUUGUGGGUGUAGUGAUUCAAAAAACAGUGGACUUGGAGUAAGUUCAUCUUUCCCCUUCAAAUAUCUUCUUAUUCCAUGUUGGUGUUUUAAGUUACAAUAAAACCCAUCAUGCUAAAGCUACUUAUGACUAAAUUAGAUGUUUAAUGAAUGCAUACAUCCAUACAUUGUUUCGAGGAAUUAUAUCCAGUAUUGACCACAAAGUUAUUUCUAUAUAUGCAACGUGUUGGUUUUAUUUGAUGCCAGUGGGAUUCCUUUGUUGGUUUUUCUAUAGCCCUUGAUUAUCAAUCUGCUGGUGAUGCAUAUCCAGGUAUUUGCAGUUGUUCAUUUGUUUUUCUGCAUGUUAAUUGAUUGGUACUCAUACUACUGUGUUAGCAACUCCAAAGCAAUGUGUGUUAUCCCCUGCCAUGUUAAUUUGGUUUCUGGCUGAAGUUACUUUGGAUACACGGUUUCAUUUGAGAAAUGCGGUAUAUAUAUAGAAACAUGGUUUUUAUAGAAUAAAACAAUUGUGUUAAGUUUGAUCAUGUAUUCCAUACAUGAUGACAGGUGUGUUAAUCCUGCUUUGUAUGUGUUAGAGAUGCAAAAUGUUGGUGACUUGGAUUUGCAUUAUUGUUGAUGUGGUAAUGGUAAUGGUAUUCCUAUCCGACUGCAUCAAUUGAGAUGCUCGGAAACUUCUUUUCGAAAACAUUUGGAAGAUUUCACGAAGUGUGGUGAUCGCAGUACCAUUCAACUUGCAAUGGGUUAGUAACAUGUUUGAACUGUCUUCACUUUGGUAUAGAAGAAGGUUCUUAUUAAGCGAGGACAUACAGUUCCUAUAAGUUGCCAGCACUUGAGAUUCAGCGAAACCUUUUCAUAGUUUGAUGUAUGUUGCUUAAUUGAAACUUUGUCGACCUUAUGGAUAAUAUUUUACAAUGUUCGCUGUAAAACUCACUUCACUACCGCUCACUUUCAUUUACUCGAACUGCAUUUGAUUGUUCAAUAGUUAAUUAUUCAUAUCUAGGUUUCAAUCAUCUUUUUUUUUUCCCCGUAUGAAUUGGAUUAUUUAUGAUUUUCUUUCUUCAUUUUUGGAUUUUGUAGGGGUUCAGAUGAGUUCUGAAUACUUUAACACUACCACUUUGACUAUUUUAGCAAGUGGACUAAUUCUCCAUCGAUGAAAACACCGUCAUUACGCCUUGCAAGACACUCCACGAACGUUGUUCCUGUUGUGGGGGUACUUUACAGACAAUUUAAAGUUCACAACAGGAGUAUUGCUUGGCGAGUUUCAAAGUACCGUGACUUCGUUUGCAACACUGAAACUUAAUUGCAAAUUUUGGUGAAACUACAAUGGGAUGACUUGCUCCUGUUGAUUCUGACAACCCUGCUAAUCCAAAGAAUAAUUGGGUUCCAGAUGACAAGCUUCGAUUUUGGAGUGAAAGAGCAACAACCAAAGAACAUGGUUGAAUAAUGUCAUCACAACAUGUUCCCUAUUAAAAAGCUUGAGGUUACUUUCCUUGAUGUCAAGCUCAAUGUCCAUACUAUGUUUGACUGCAAACCCAUUAAGUGCAUGUAUUACAAAAGAAAAAAACAUACCCAAAAGGAACGAUGUUAACAUUGGAGAUGGAUUUUGGAGAGGUUUGAUGUAGAGUCAUGUAGUAUAUGACAGUCUUGAUGUCGUGCAUGGCACACUUCACCUGGAUUUAUGAGGUAAGGUUCCAAGUUAAAAUGAUCAAUAUAUGCAGACAAUUAGAGUACGCGUCUCUGUACAUAGUUUCCUACUUCCGUUAAUUGCUACAUGCGGUCAUUGCUUUCUCAAAAUUUUUGGGGAAUAAUUAACAUAUUUGUGGAUAUGAAAUGCAUGGUGGGGCAUUUUCUAUAUAUGCAGACAAUUAGAGUACGCAUCUCUGUACAUAGUUUCCUACUUCCGUUAAUUGCUACAUGCGGUCAUUGCUUUCUCAAAAUUUUUGGGGAAUAAUUAACAUAUUUGUGGAUAUGAAAUGCAUGGUGGGGCAUGUUCUACAUACCUUGCAUUGUGAGUAGGUAUACAACAUUCAGUCCUUUUUUUUUUAAAUCCUAUUAUUGACGAUAUAGAGAUUUCAUGUGCAUUUAUAAUCUCCUGGAAUGAGGGUUUUUAUCAUGGUUUCUUAACCAGGGAUGUUGAUUCCAUCUUGGUCAAAUGCUUCUGUUUGGAUAUCUCUUUGAAAAAACUAUUAGGUAUUAGGAAUUCAUGAUGCAAAGGAAGAGGCAAACGUGUUUGUCCAAUGAUAUAUUUUCUUGCCUUUAGAGCAUCAUACAUUUAUGAUAGAGUGCAUUUAGAGUAGAAUGUCCAUGAACAAUGGGAUCAGAAUACGUUGUCCCCAACUAUUUAGUGUUUUGGGUCAAUAAAUAACUUGGUUAGCUAUUUUAAACUAUCAGCUCAGAAUAGUAGGCAUUAGUUCUAAAUUAUGACCAGCGAGCAAUUUAUUUUUUAUAUGUUGAUAUAGUUUUCUAGGGCACUAGUGUUUCAUUUUUCUGUAUUUCUUAAGGAUGCCUUUUUCCUAUCUAAAAAUCUCCUUAUUGUAUAGUGCAUGCUUCUGUUAAGGCACUCAAUGGUGACAUCAGAUGUUUUGAUUCUUCAGGCCAAGGCUGAAAAGCUGGCAAGGUAAGGGUUUUUUAGUAAAUAUUUGGUAAUGUGGACCGAUGACUUAGAACUGGGAUCUUUUAUUAGCGUACAUGAGAUGGUGUGAGGUACAAUCUCUUCUUGAUAUUACCUCAUACUAUUAAAUCUUUUAGACAAACAUAUGCGCAGUUGCUAUCUUAGCUCAAAUGGCAGAGCACGUGGUUUUUACCAUGAAGUUGCGAGUUCGACUCCCUCAGAUGGCAUAGUUAUUUGAAUAAGCCAAAACCCAAAACCUUAUUCCGGUACCAGUGUGUAGGUAUAUAUAGACAGAAAAUGUAUAAGAUUAUAAGGCUCUUUGGAGGAUUCUUUUUGUCAAUUCCAGGACCUAAUAUUACUGUUCAUAUUAAGCAUCUGUUGCGAUCUCUACUCAAGGAAAAGGGUAAAAUUUUGCUAUGUGCUUUCUCAUCAAGUUUGUUUUAGGCUUUGAGCCAAAUCAGUGUUUACCCUCUUAUGUUAAUGAGUUUAUUGAUCUUUGGUGGUAUGAAUGGUAUGAUGGACUGCUUAAAAGGAUAUUCAGUUGACUCCUUAACUCCUUCCAGGUACUUAUAUUUUCAGCCACGACAUUGGAACUUUAUUGAAACUUUAGUCAAUAAUUCAAGCUAAAGUUGUUGAUUAGGAAAAUAUUGAUAUUUAUCUCAAGAGUGACAACAUAAUAUAUUGGUUUCGGCGAAUAAUUGUUUUAAGAAUUCUUUGAGUAACUAUUUACUACAUGAAUUUGUGAAUUUUGUUGAAUUUGAUGAUUAAAAUCAAGUUAUAGGGUCAGUACUUCCGGGUGCAAAACUGGCUUAUUGAAUUGAAAAAACAACGAAAUAAUACACGCACAUGACACAAAUAUAUUUACAGGUUUUUUGAUUUGGUAGCUAAAAUAUUAACGUUCAACACCAACCAGGCACACUAAAUCCAAAAUACGUAGAAAAUACAAAAUCAUAUUAAACGAUCUACACAGUUUCAUAAAACUAGACGAUUUCCAAAUUUAGUCAGAAUUCGGUAUAUACUCACGCAUACGAAUCACAAGCCGGCAUAAUAAAUAGGUUGUAUAAACCAACAAAAUAACAAGGUUUGUUGUUACAUAAACCCGGAAAUAAAAGAGUUCUCGUAUUAGGACAGAUGAAAUUUGAGAACAAUAAAAUAUGUGAUUUUGGAGAACAAUAGAAAGAGAAAAAUAUCUCUCCGCAACAAGAUAAUCUAAAUUUCAUAUCAGAAUAUUUCAAUAGAUAGGUACGGCACAACAACUAAAAAACCUAUAGAUGGUGCCUUUAUUUCCUUAGCAAAAAAUCUAUGGAUUCCAAAAUAAAAUAAAAUGAGUUGGAACGACAUAUGCGGGAAGAACAAUAUCAAUAUGAAAUAACUUUUUCACAGUAUUAUCCGAAUUGAGGUUUAUGAAUAAUUUUCAUGUCGACAUGUAUGUUAUGAAAUACAUGUGAACAUCAUGGGGGUCUAACUAACUAAAUUGUUUACUUAUUUUUUAAAAGUAUUUGGAUACAUUAAAUAAGAUGUAGUUUGUUUUAAUGUAUGUAAACUGAAGACUAUCACGGGAGGUUGAGCCGGGGCCGUAAGGCUAGGAAAAUCAAUACUAUUAUUCCAGUAUGUUAUUGCUGUUUGGGUUCUUCAAGUAAAGGUAAAAAUAGUCAUGUGUUUUUUUGUAUGUGGUAGCCAUGGAUGGAGGAUCUUGAUUCCUGAAGAUGAUGGCAUAAGAUGAAUGUUGUACAUUUGGUCUUAUGAAAGUUGACUCUUAAUGGGGUCUGAUGUUAUUGAAGAUUUGGCAUGGGCAAUUGAGGUAUAGAUAUCACAUCUCUUAGAAAAUUAAGGGGAAUGUAUAUUUGUGUACGAUGCAUUUCAUUUUUUGGUGUUGUCAGUAUGACUUGAUUUGUGCUUUUGUAUAGUGGAGAUAAUGAAGUCGUUGAGAAUAUCAGUAAACAAACCAAAAAGGUAGGAUGUAAGCACGGUUAUGUUAAAGACACAAAAGAAAUUCGAAUAAUGCAUUCGGUGGUCAUGGAAGGUAGAAUAACACAGUCCGAUAGUUACGUUCCUGCUUUUACUUAUGGGAAAGUGAGUAAUCACAUUUCUUUUUUCUUAGGAGUUUCCAAAAUAAAAUAACAUUUUUUUUAUUGCUAGAUAAUAGUUACCUUUAGCAGUUCAAUGUGGUUCUUGCUCAAGGAGCAGAUCAAAUUAAAAUAGAUGGAGCAGGGUAAGCCAAAAUAAUUACAAACCAUGAACAAAGUUAUGCUGCCCUUAUUCUGAAGCAUCCGGUAUUAGAAUUAAUAUAAUUUGGCACAAGUGAAUAUCUGCUAUCAUGUUUUAAUUUUUUUAUAUGCUUCAAUUGAUGAAUAAGCAGUUAUUGACAGGGUUACUUGAAGUUAACUUGGAAUUGUGAACUCCAUUCACCUAUUAUUGAUGCAUGGGUGAUAUUUGGAGGAGCAUUCCAUAUGCUAUAGCAUUAAAGUAGAAGUAUAGAGCAUGUGCAGCAUUGUUGACCCCUUCGUUGGCUGAGCCUUUGGUAUGGCCUCCUCAUUGAAUUUUAUCAGUGAGCUGAAUCUAGAUGCUAAAGUCCUGUUAAAAGGGGAACUUAUCCCCACUAGCUAAUGAUACUGGCAACAAUGUCUCUAAGCUGAGUUUUUCCUCAUUCCCUUUAUGUUAAGUUUGAACUUACAUAAUAAACCUUCCAUCGACAGUAUACGCGUCUAUAUUUGAUUCUUUUGCAGCAUCAACAAUAUAAAAUUGAUUCAUGGGUGAUAUUUGGAGGAGCAUUCCAUAUGCUAUAGCAUUAAAGUAGAAGCAUGGAGCAUCUGCAGCAUUGCUGAACCCCUUUGGUGUUUUUGGAUAAAUAAGGUUUUGAGGCAAAAUUGGCUAAAAAUGUGGCCCUUGGAU
Long non-coding RNA from Papaver somniferum (opium poppy), 6238 nucleotides. RefSeq lists it as uncharacterized. The transcript is spliced from 5 exons. The record is from RefSeq and is a predicted model, not a curated record. Lineage: Eukaryota; Viridiplantae; Streptophyta; Magnoliopsida; Ranunculales; Papaveraceae.